This 519-nucleotide long non-coding RNA is filed under the name Mytilus galloprovincialis (Mediterranean mussel). Lineage: Eukaryota; Metazoa; Mollusca; Bivalvia; Mytilida; Mytilidae. The record is from RNAcentral.
AUUAUUUUACGAGAAUCAUCCAGACAUUAGUUACAUGCAUACGUUGCCAGUAUGUCAAAACUUCUAGGAAUAUUUUUUUAUCGGCCUGACCUUCUGAAUACUCAAUUUUUUAAAAUUUUGAAAAAUUGGCAUUAAAAUUCGAAGGAUCAAAUCAUAGGAAACAUGUGUAUUAAGUUUUAAGUUGAUAGGACUUCAACUUCAUCAAAAAUUACCUUGACAAAAAACUUUAACCUGAACUAGGACAGACGGACGAACGAACGAACGGCCGCACAGACCAGAAAACAUAAUUGGACAUAAAAAUAACUUUCACCUAUCUACCUGUACACAAUCGGCGCAAAUGAAAAACAAAAUGAAAAUAAAAAAAAAAUGAAAUGCAUAUUGGCGGAAAUACAAGACAAAAUCUACGCAUGUGAAAGAAUAAAAAAAAAAUGAAAUGCAGUUCGGCGCAAAAAAGUAGUGAUCAAAAGUUAUAUUUUAUUGUUUUUAUUAGAACGAAGGUUAGAUUCAUAACAAACCGGA